Molecule: RNA transcript, 2212 nt
Organism: Arvicola amphibius (Eurasian water vole)
Lineage: Eukaryota; Metazoa; Chordata; Mammalia; Rodentia; Cricetidae
Gene: Ctu1
Gene name: cytosolic thiouridylase subunit 1
Exons: 5
Source: RefSeq, a predicted model, not a curated record
GCUCCAGGCUUCCGCGUGGCAGGCAGAGCGCAGAGCCCAUUCCACCCAGUGCGAAUACCCCAAGCAGCCCACAUCUCUUCUCCCGAUGCCCGCUCCAACGUGCUCCUCCUGCCAUGCAGCCCGCGCUGCCCUCCGCCGCCCUCGCUCUGGGCAGGCGCUAUGCGGCUCCUGCUUCUGUGCAGCCUUUGAGGCCGAGGUGCUGCACACCGUGAUCGCCGGGUGCCUGCUGCCCCCGGGUGCCGUGGUGGCUGUGGGCGCCUCGGGUGGCAAGGAUUCCACGGUACUGGCACACGUGCUGCGCGAGCUCGCACCACGCCUGGGCAUCACGCUGCACCUGGUGGCGGUGGACGAGGGCAUCGGUGGCUACCGUGACGCAGCCCUGGAGGCCGUGAGCAGCCAGGCCGCGCGCUGGGAGCUCCCGCUCACCAUUGUGGCCUAUGCAGACCUGUUCGGGGGCUGGACGAUGGAUGCCGUGGCCCGCAGCACUGCCGGCUCUGGCCGCAGUCGCUCCUGCUGCACCUUCUGUGGGGUGCUGCGGCGGCGCGCGCUGGAGGAGGGUGCACGCCUCGUGGGAGCUACACACAUCGUGACUGGCCACAAUGCAGACGAUAUGGCGGAGACAGUGCUCAUGAACUUCCUGCGCGGUGAUGCUGGGCGGCUGGCGCGGGGUGGAGUGCUGGGCUCUGCUGGCGAGGGGUGCGCUCUCCCGCGGUGCCGGCCUCUGCAGUUUGCUUCGCAGAAGGAGGUGGUGCUGUACGCGCACUUCCGCCGCCUGCGCUACUUCUCCGAGGAGUGCGUAUAUGCACCCGAGGCUUUCCGUGGCCACGCUCGCGACCUGCUCAAGCGCCUGGAGGCAGCGCGGCCAUCGGCAGUGUUGGACCUCGUGCACUCGGCAGAGCGCCUUGCUCUUGCCCCAGCAGCUCGGCCCCCUCCUCCAGGUACCUGCACCCGCUGCGGGGCGCUGGCCAGCCAUGCGCUCUGCCAGGCCUGUGCGCUCCUGGAUGGCCUCAACCGAGGCUUGCCACGCCUGGCUAUCGGCAAGGGCCGCCGCAUGUUGCAAGCCGAGCCGCCACUGCCUGGGAACCCAAGCCAGGCCACCAGUGACCCUGCGGCCCCACAGGGACCCUGCACCUGUGAGCAACCCAGAAAUGGAGCCACCCUGUGCAGGGAAGGAGGAGACCGGGCAGUAACCACCUGUGUCCUACAGAGUGACGCGAGCCUCUUGGAGUGACCUAAGUCCUGAACUCUACAUUGUUCUGUGCCCUGAAAAGUGACUGUGCCCUGUAGUGCCCGUUCCUGUGAAGCGAUUGUGCACUGUGAAGUGACCUCCCUGCCCUUCCAGAGUUUCCUAUGGCCUAUGGGACCUGAGCUCUGUGGAGUAACUGUGUACGAUGGAGGGGCUGUGCUCUGCACAGCAACCUGAACCUUGGAUACGGUGAGGGAGCCCCUGGCUAGGCUACCAGGCCUGAGGGAGAAGGGACCAGCAACCCUACAUUCCUGCACACCUCUGUGGGCUCAGAAUAGCCCUGGCCUCACUUUGUCUGCCCAAGUCAGGCAACCUCAAGGCUUACGUGGCUAUCGGUCACUCAAUUGGAAGGCCACCGGGGCUGUCAUCAGCAUCAUCCACUCCUGGUAACCAAUAACUGGCUUGCCGUCACCCCGUCAGAUCUCUGCAGAGAGGAGAGUCCAGAGGUCAAAGUAGUUGGCCUACUAUGUCCAGUUUGGCGCUGCAUAGUAAGGAUUGGCUACCAGGGGGCUCCAGGCUUUUGGAUGCUACCUUGCCUUACAGACUGAGGAAACUUCCCCAAGAAGAGACUUGGUGCUGUGAGUCCUAUCUCCAGGUGUGGCCUGGCUGAGUACUAGAAGCUUUUUCCUGAUCUUCCCCAAACCUUGGACAGAACACUCCACUCCUUAACCUCUGUGGUCCUGUCCUCAGGGAAGUGACCUGCUUACCCCUUGAACUCCGCAGGUAUCCAUUUUCCUAAUUGAGUUAGGUCUGAAAGGCAGAGAGGAUGCCCUGCCUCCUUCAAGUUCCCCGAGGGUAUUAAGCACUGUGUCGAUUAUUCAUUCAGCAAACGUUGGACAUCCUUUGUUUGGUCCUUGGGUGUGAGGAAGCUGCAAUGAGCAGAGGCAGGAGCCUCUGUCUCCAGGCAUUUUCAACCUGUGAGAAAAGAACCACAUGCAAGUAAAUACCAGGCAGCUAUAAACUUCA